AUUGAACGCUGGCGGCAGGCCUAACACAUGCAAGUCGAACGGUAACAGGAAGAAGCUUCCUUCUUUGCUGACGCGUGGCGCACGUGUGUGUCAUGUCUGGGACACUGCCUGAUGGAGGGGGAUAAUUCCUGGAACCGGGACCUAAUCCCGCUUAACUUCUCAACCCCAAAGUUCGAUAGCUUCGGACCUCUUUGCUGCCGCUGUUCCCAGGUGCCGCGCCGGAUUAGCUAGGUGGUAGGGUAACGGCUUACCUAGGCCACGAUUCGUAGCCGAUCUGAGAGGAUGAUCGGCCACACUGGAACUGAGACACGGUCCAGACUCCUACGGGAGGCAGCAGUGGGGAAUAUUGCGCAAUGGGCGCAAGCCUGAUGCAGCAAUGCCGCGUGUAUGAAGAAGGCCUUCGGGUUGUAAAGUACUGUCAGCGGGGAGGAAGGGAGUAAAGUUAAAAUCUUUGCUUAUUGACGUUACCCGCAGAAGAAGCAACGGCUAACUCCGUG
RNAcentral lists this ribosomal RNA (497 nucleotides) under uncultured bacterium. RNAcentral's name for it is "partial 16S ribosomal RNA". It matches the Rfam family "Bacterial small subunit ribosomal RNA", at positions 30 to 507 of the family's 1533-position model. The record is from RNAcentral.